UGGUUCUGGCAUNGAUGAAGAACGCAGCGAAAUGCGAUAAGUAAUGCGAAUUGCAGAAUUCAGUGAGUCAUCGAAUCUUUGAACGCAUAUUGCGCCCUUUGGUAUUCCGAAGGGCAUGCCUGUUCGAGCGUCAUUAUCACCUAUCAAGCCUGGCUUGUCAUUGGACUUUUUGGUCAUACGACCGGUCUGAAAGAUAAUAGACAGGACCUGACAGCCCCUGGAUAUAAUAAGCUUUAGAGAGCACGUAUCCGUCGGCCAGCGGGCCCCCGUCUUUAAGCCCCCAUUUUCUCAGGUUGACCUCGGAUCAGGUAGGAAUACCCGCUGA
Molecule: unclassified non-coding RNA, 325 nt
Filed under: uncultured fungus
Lineage: Eukaryota; Fungi
Description: partial contains 5.8S ribosomal RNA and internal transcribed spacer 2
Rfam family: 5.8S ribosomal RNA (bases 1-133)
Source: RNAcentral